AGAGCGAACGCUGGCGGCAGGCCUAACACAUGCAAGUCGAGCGCCCCGCAAGGGGGAGCGGCAGACGGGAGAGUAACACGUGGGAACGUACCCUUUGGUUCGGAACAACACAGGGAAACUUGUGCUAAUACCGGAUAAGCCCUUACGGGGAAAGAUUUAUCGCCAAAGGAUCGGCCCGCGUCUGAUUAGCUUGUUGGUGAGGUAACGGCUCACCAAGGCUACGAUCAGUAGCUGGUCUGAGAGGAUGAUCAGCCUCACUGGGACUGAGACACGGCCCAGACUCCUACGGGAGGCAGCAGUGGGGAAUAUUGGACAAUGGGCGCAAGCCUGAUCCAGCCAUGCCGCGUGGAUGAUGAAGGCCCUAGGGUUGUAAAGUCCUUUCGACGGGGAAGAUAAUGACGGUACCCGUAGAAGAAGCCCCGGCUAACUUCGUGCCAGCAGCCGC
Molecule: ribosomal RNA, 445 nt
Filed under: uncultured bacterium
Lineage: Bacteria
Description: SSU rRNA
Rfam family: Bacterial small subunit ribosomal RNA
Source: RNAcentral